Molecule: ribosomal RNA, 117 nt
Filed under: Colobus angolensis palliatus
Lineage: Eukaryota; Metazoa; Chordata; Mammalia; Primates; Cercopithecidae
Source: RNAcentral
GUCUACAGCCAUACCACCCUGAAUGCACCUGAUCCUGGCUGAUCUCAGAAGCUAAGCAGGGUUGGGCCUGGUUAGUACUUGGAUGGGAGAAAGAAAGGCGAAGGGAGGAGUACGGCA